GUGAUCUACAGCACAGUCAUA
Molecule: small nuclear RNA, 21 nt
Filed under: Arabidopsis thaliana (thale cress)
Lineage: Eukaryota; Viridiplantae; Streptophyta; Magnoliopsida; Brassicales; Brassicaceae
Description: snRNA_06493
Source: RNAcentral